GCUCUGAGCUAGUGAAUGGAGAACGAGGUUAAACUUUGGAUUUGCAUUGUAACACCAAAUACAUGCACUUGAAAGAUUUACAGCAAAAAUGGGUCUGAGAGUUACCUGGUUUUGUGCAUUCUACUUGCUAGUUAGUGUAGAGAGAAUGGUUAUGCAGGAAUUUCUUCCCCCAAAAAUCAAUAACUGAUCAAUCAAGCUGAUGUCUAUCUACACCAGUGCACGGGUAACAAACAGAAAACCACUGUGCAAGAGCAGAACUACGACACAAUUGCCAUUACAGAAACAUGGUGGGAUGACUUGCACAACUGGAAUACUCCAAUGGAUGGCUAUGAACUCUUCACAAGGGAUAAGCAGGGAGGAAUGAUCCUGUAUGUUAGGGCAAGUUUUGAUUGUCCAGGGCUUAAUGAUGGUGUCAAUAGCAUUGAGUAUGGGUAAGAAUCAGGGGAAAGGCCAGCAAGGAAGAUGUCAUAGUAGGAGUGUUAUAGACAACCCAACCAGGAUGAAGAAGCAGAUUAAAUAUUCUAUAAGCAGCUGGGAAAAAUCUUACAAUUACUAACCACGUUCUCAUGCGAAACUUCAACUUAACAGGUGGAAAUGCAACACCACAGAGAGGAAGCAGUCUAGGAGAUUCCUGGAAUGUGUGGAACUUUUUAACACAAGUGUUAAGUGACCCAACUAGGGAACGUGCCCUGCUGGACCCAUUGUUUUUGAACAAAGAAGGACAAAGUGAUGUGAUGCUUAGAAGCUGUCCUGGGCACAGAAAUUAAAAAAAAAAAAAUGAUAAGAGUAGUAGCAAAACAGUUACCUUGGACUGCCAGAGAGGAGACUUUGGCCUCUUUAGGAGACUGGUUGGGAGAGUCCCAUGUGAGGCAGUACUGAAGCACAAAGAGGAGUCCAGGAAGGCUAGACAUUCUUCAAGAAAGAAAUCUUACAGGCGUAGGAGCAGGCUGAAAGAUAGGGUGUUGAGGAAGAAGACCAGCCUCACUGAAUUGAGAGCUUUGGCUGGAACUCAGGAAAUAAAGGAGAAUUUAUGAGCUUUGAAAGAAGGGGCAGCAACUCAGCAGGACUACAAGGAUGUCAUGAGGUUAUGCAGGGGGGUGUUAAAAGCAUGAAACAGAACUUAAGAGACAAUAGAAAUGGGUCUACAAAUACAUCAGGAAUAAAAGGAGAAUCUCUACUUUUUAUUGGAUGCAAGGGGAAACAUAGCGACAAAAGGCGAGGAAAAGACUGCACUAUUUUUUUGCCCCAGUCUUUAAUAGUAACACAAAAGCUGUUCUUUAGGUACACAGCCCCUCAGCCAGGAGACAGGCACAGAGAGCAGAAUGAAGCCCCUAGAACCCUGUGGAAAUGAUCUGGUGAUCUGUUACUCUCAGACACACACAGACUUAUGGGAUGAGAUGGUAUCCCCCAAAGGUACUGACAGAAUUGGUAGAGGAGCCACUUUCAAUCAUUUAUCAGAUGUCUUGUCUCACCAAGGAGGUUCAGUGGGAUGGAGGUUUGCAAGUGUGACACCCAUCUACAAGAAGUGAUGGAAGAAAGAUUUGGGGAGCUACAGGCCUAUCAGCCUGGCCUUGGUGCUGAGGAAGGUCAUGGAGCAGAUCAUCUUGAGUGCCAUCAUGCAGCACCUACAGGACAGGGGAUCAGAAACACCCAGCAGGGGGUGGGAAAGGCAGCUCCUGCUUAACCAGCCUAGUCUUGACCUAGUAAGUGGAUGAGGUAAAGGCUAUGGCUGGUGUCUACUAGGACUUUAGUAAGAACUUUGGCACCAUUUCCCACAACAUUCUCCUGCAGAAAGAGAAUGGCUUGGGUGGGUGUGCUGUUCAUUGGUUAUAAUCUGUCUGGAUGGCUGGGCCCAGAGAGUGGUGGUGAAUGGAAGUAAAUUCUGUUGGCAGAUGAUCACAAAUGGUGUCCUGCAGGUCUCAAUAUUGGGAUCAGUCUUGUUUAAUAUCUUUAUCAAUGAUCUGGAUGACGGAAUUGAAUAUACCCUCAGUCAGUUUGCAUAUGACACCAAGUUGAGUGGGAGUGUUGAUCUUCUGGAGGGUAGGAAGGCUUUACUGGAGGAUCUGGACAGGCUGGAUCAAUGGGCUGAGGCCAAAUUUCAAGGUUCAACAAGGCAAAAUGCUAGAUCCUGCAUUUGGGUCAUAGCAACCCCAUCAGAGCCGCAGACAUGGGGCAGUGUCUGGAACAAUCCCUGGUGGGAAAAGACUGGGGGUUCUGGUUAACACCCAGCUGGACAUGAGCCAGGACUGUGCCCAGGUGGCCAAGAUGUCCAGAGGCAUCCAGGAUUGUAUCAGCAAUUGUAUGGCCAGCAGGACCAGGGAAGUGAUUGUUGCCCUGUACUUGGCACUGGUGAGCUUGCAUCUCAAAUCCUGUGUUCAGUUUUGGACCCCUCACCACAAGGACUUUGAGGCACUGGAUCAUGUCCAGAGAAGGAUGAUGAAGCUGGUGAAGGGUCUGAUGCACAAGUCUGAUGAGGACCUGGUGUUAGUUAAUCUGGAGAAAAGGAGGCUGAGAGAUUUGUUGCUCUCUACAAUAACCUGAAAUGGAAAAAUUUCUUCACCAAGUGUUGUCCAGCAUUGGAACAGACUCUUCAGUGGAACCAUCCUCCCUGCAGGUAUUCAAAAAACAUGUAGAUGUGUCACUUAGGGACAUGGUUUAGAUGUGGACUCAGAAGUGCUCAAUGAGCUUAAGAAUCUUUUACAUCCUAAAUAAUUCUAUGAUUCUAUAAUCCUCUACAGAUGAAUUUCAAAUGUGCCUGAUCCUUACAGAGGAUUUUAUAUGAGAAAGGUGGAAGUAUGCAACCCUAUGCAUGGUGUUCAAAUUCUACCACCACAUGCUAUUUUUCCUAAGUGUAAUCCUGGUGUGACUCUGGUGAAAUAAAAGUCCAUUACAGGCAUAGGAAGAAGCAAAUUCCUUUUGCACCCUAGACACACGUUAUUGAUUGAAGUGACUGGCUGAGGUUCUGCAGACGAAUUUAUGCACAUCAAAAGUUAAGAACCUCCUGGAGGAACUUUAGUCUCCUUGAAGUCAGUAGGAUUUGGAUUCUGAUGGUGAAAUCUUAAGCCAUCAAAAAUGACCUCUGAACUAAAAAAGCCUAUUGACAUUUCUGACACCAGCUUUUGAGUCUUGGAGCCCCAUGAUGCACCUGCAGCACAGAUCAAGCAAUGUAAAGGCUCUUAGUGCAAAUGAGAAGUAGGCUCCCAAGAGCUUUUCAUCUGAUGAUUGUGAAGUGAUUCAUACUGCACUGCUACUGCUGCCAUUACCUAUGAGAAGACAGAACGAACUGGAGGUGAUUGACAGUUUUGUAAAUCAAGACAUAAGUACUGAGCAGGGAGUACCUGAAAACUCAGGUGAGUGUUUGCAUGGCAACCCAAAGUAGCAGAACACAUCAGUGAUGAUAUGGCAUUAGCAGGCUAAAUUUAUACCUGCCAGCACUCCUCAGAAGCUCUGUACCAGACUGAUCAACUAUGGAAAAAAGACAAGGAAAUCUUUCCUAAUAUAUGAGAAGCAGACUGAAAUCAUACUGGCCUUUCUGCAUUUCUUCGUAAAUUAUUCAAAUCUUUCAAAGUUUGUAUUUUAUACAUGAGAUUUGAAGCCCUUUUGAUGUUACAUUUUAAGCUGUGUAAAGAUUGUGUUGCAAUAAGUGUUUUGUCUGAAAUUUUCCAUACCAUGAAGCUUGAAGCAAUAGAAGGUAUAAUGUGAGAGUUACAAAAGGGGAGAGGAUGGGGCAGAGGUGAAGGCAUGAGACAAAGCCUGGACAAGAAAAUUUUUUGGAGGGACAGAGGAGAUUUCAACAAGAUACCCAGAUGUUGGAAGUUCUGUAUCUUAGAAUGAUAUUAAGUCACUUGCAGCAGGCUUUUCACUUCUCUAUCAUUAGGUGCCUGGUCUAUAUCCAUGAGAGUACCUUUAUGGAGGGAACUACAAAAUUAUCUUAUACCUGUAUGUAACCCCCAUAUGCUUAAACUUGUUUUAUUUCUAAUGCUGUAAAAUCCACUAGUUUACCUGAGAAAUCUUAAUACUAAAUGUAUGAGUGCGAAGUAGGCUGAUAAUAUAAUUUUAAGAUGGUUUCAUCCAUGAUUUCUUGUUUUAGCUGCUCCUAUAGAAAUGGGGGAUCUUUUUGGGUUGAAAUUUUGUGUCAUUCUUCGUCCUAACAAUAAUUUUCCUCUGAUAGAAAGAAAGGCAGGAAGGGCAGGGCAGGGCAGGGCUGGGCAAGGCAGGGCAGGAAGGAAG
Molecule: non-coding RNA, 4230 nt
Organism: Taeniopygia guttata (zebra finch)
Lineage: Eukaryota; Metazoa; Chordata; Aves; Passeriformes; Estrildidae
Source: RefSeq, a predicted model, not a curated record